Molecule: signal recognition particle RNA, 99 nt
Filed under: Phycisphaerales bacterium
Lineage: Bacteria; Pseudomonadati; Planctomycetota; Phycisphaerae; Phycisphaerales
Description: signal recognition particle sRNA small type
Rfam family: Bacterial small signal recognition particle RNA
About the family: The signal recognition particle (SRP) is a universally conserved ribonucleoprotein involved in the co-translational targeting of proteins to membranes. Archaeal SRP consists of a 7S RNA and homologues of the eukaryotic SRP19 and SRP54 proteins.
Source: RNAcentral
GCCCGGGCUCGAUGCACGGGUGGCCUGUGAAUCUGGUCAGGGCUUGACCGCAGCAGCCAUAAGCAGCCGUCGCCCGGUGCCGUCGGUGUCCUGGGCACC